RNAcentral lists this ribosomal RNA (1019 nucleotides) under uncultured bacterium. Its description in RNAcentral is "bacterial SSU rRNA". It matches the Rfam family "Bacterial small subunit ribosomal RNA", at positions 355 to 1375 of the family's 1533-position model. The record is from RNAcentral.
UGAGGAAUAUUGGUCAAUGGACGCGAGUCUGAACCAGCCAAGUAGCGUGAAGGAUGACUGCCCUAUGGGUUGUAAACUUCUUUUAUAUGGGAAUAAAGUUGUCCACGUGUGGAUUUUUGUAUGUACCAUAUGAAUAAGGAUCGGCUAACUCCGUGCCAGCAGCCGCGGUAAUACGGAGGAUCCGAGCGUUAUCCGGAUUUAUUGGGUUUAAAGGGAGCGUAGGCGGAUUGUUAAGUCAGUUGUGAAAGUUUGCGGCUCAACCGUAAAAUUGCAGUUGAUACUGGCAGUCUUGAGUGCAGUAGAGGUGGGCGGAAUUCGUGGUGUAGCGGUGAAAUGCUUAGAUAUCACGAAGAACUCCGAUUGCGAAGGCAGCUCACUGGAGUGUAACUGACGCUGAUGCUCGAAAGUGUGGGUAUCAAACAGGAUUAGAUACCCUGGUAGUCCACACAGUAAACGAUGAAUACUCGCUGUUUGCGAUAUACAGUAAGCGGCCAAGCGAAAGCAUUAAGUAUUCCACCUGGGGAGUACGCCGGCAACGGUGAAACUCAAAGGAAUUGACGGGGGCCCGCACAAGCGGAGGAACAUGUGGUUUAAUUCGAUGAUACGCGAGGAACCUUACCCGGGCUUAAAUUGCACUCGAAUGAUCCGGAAACGGUUCAGCUAGCAAUAGCGAGUGUGAAGGUGCUGCAUGGUUGUCGUCAGCUCGUGCCGUGAGGUGUCGGCUUAAGUGCCAUAACGAGCGCAACCCUUGUUGUCAGUUACUAACAGGUGAUGCUGAGGACUCUGACAAGACUGCCAUCGUAAGAUGUGAGGAAGGUGGGGAUGACGUCAAAUCAGCACGGCCCUUACGUCCGGGGCUACACACGUGUUACAAUGGGGGGUACAGAGGGCCGCUACCACGCGAGUGGAUGCCAAUCCCUAAAACCCCUCUCAGUUCGGACUGGAGUCUGCAACCCGACUCCACGAAGCUGGAUUCGCUAGUAAUCGCGCAUCAGCCACGGCGCGGUGAAUACGUUCCC